AAACUUAGGUUAAUACAAANCCAGGAGCCUUCAAAACUCCAAAUAUGGAA
RNAcentral lists this transfer RNA (50 nucleotides) under Anolis chrysolepis (goldenscale Anole). RNAcentral's name for it is "partial tRNA-Trp". The record is from RNAcentral. Lineage: Eukaryota; Metazoa; Chordata; Lepidosauria; Squamata; Anolidae.